Cucurbita moschata (crookneck pumpkin) is the source of this 80-nucleotide long non-coding RNA. RefSeq lists it as uncharacterized. The record is from RefSeq and is a predicted model, not a curated record. Lineage: Eukaryota; Viridiplantae; Streptophyta; Magnoliopsida; Cucurbitales; Cucurbitaceae. The transcript has 3 exons.
GCUCGACUGUAAAGGAGAGGAUCAGCAAUGGAAUUGUUCAACCGAGUUUACGAGGUGAGGGGGCGAAGAGAAGCGAGACG